CAGUCGCCGCGGUAAAACGUAGGGUGCAAGCGUUAAUCGGAAUUACUGGGCGUAAAGCGUGCGCAGGCGGUCCGUUAAGACAGAUGUGAAAUCCCCGGGCUUAACCUGGGAACUGCAUUUGUGACUGGCGGGCUAGAGUAUGGCAGAGGGGGGUAGAAUUCCACGUGUAGCAGUGAAAUGCGUAGAGAUGUGGAGGAAUACCGAUGGCGAAGGCAGCCCCCUGGGCCAAUACUGACGCUCAUGCACGAAAGCGUGGGGAGCAAACAGGAUUAGAUACCCCGGUAGUCCCUGUCUCUUAUAC
Molecule: ribosomal RNA, 301 nt
Filed under: uncultured bacterium
Lineage: Bacteria
Description: partial 16S ribosomal RNA
Rfam family: Bacterial small subunit ribosomal RNA
Source: RNAcentral